GACGAACGCUGGCGGCGUGCCUAACACAUGCAAGUCGAACGGGGAUAUUUAAGCAGCAAUGCUUGGUUAUCCUAGUGGCGGACGGGUGAGUAACGCGUGAGCAAUCUGCCUUUCUGAGGGGGAUAACGACGGGAAACUGUCGCUAAUACCGCAUGAUAUAAGGGGAGGGCAUCCUACCCUUAUCAAAGGAGCAAUCCGCGGAAAGAUGAGCUCGCGUCCGAUUAGAUAGUUGGCGGGGUAACGGCCCACCAAGUCUGCGAUCGGUAGCCGGACUGAGAGGUUGAACGGCCACACUGGAACUGAGACACGGUCCAGACUCCUACGGGAGGCAGCAGUGGGGAAUAUUGGGCAAUGGGCGAAAGCCUGACCCAGCAACGCCGCGUGAGGGAAGAAGGUCUUCGGAUUGUAAACCUCUGUUCUUGGUGACGAAAAAGAUGACGGUAGCCAAGGAGAAAGCCCCGGCUAACUACGUG
This 473-nucleotide ribosomal RNA is filed under the name uncultured bacterium. RNAcentral's name for it is "bacterial SSU rRNA". It matches the Rfam family "Bacterial small subunit ribosomal RNA", at positions 28 to 507 of the family's 1533-position model. The record is from RNAcentral.